Molecule: non-coding RNA, 69 nt
Organism: Rattus norvegicus (Norway rat)
Lineage: Eukaryota; Metazoa; Chordata; Mammalia; Rodentia; Muridae
Source: Rfam
GGGGAUUUAGCUCAGUGGUAGGGCACUUGCCUAGCAAGCGCAAGGCCCUGGGUUCGGUCCCCAGCUCCA